Molecule: long non-coding RNA, 1158 nt
Filed under: Anas platyrhynchos (mallard)
Lineage: Eukaryota; Metazoa; Chordata; Aves; Anseriformes; Anatidae
Description: lncRNA (ENSAPLG00020011060.1)
Source: RNAcentral
AUGUCCAGCCUCCGGGGCCGGCAGAGGGGAUUCUCCGGCAGGACUCCGGUCCUCCGAGCCGCUUUUGCUCCCUUCGGGAAACCCGCUCCGGCACAAGGCAUCGCCUGCCUCCCCGCUCCGCAGCCCGCACCGGACACCGGGAAAAGCGGCCGGCAGCCGGGGGGACCUCCCCGGGCACCCGGGGGGCUGCAGCCAGGAGGAGCCGGCGUUUAUGAGAGAUUUAUUCCCGUGCCCACGCUGUCCCCCCGCAGCCAGGCCUUUGCAGCCCCCCGGCACGCCGGGCUCGGGAUGCUUCCCUCGAAACACUUCGUCCUCCGCUAUGAAACUCAGCGGCAGCCCGGGAGGGGGGUCAGCCUGCCUUCAGCCCCUCCGGGUGCACCUGCCCGGGGAUGGGGACGGGGCCGGGGCCGGGGACAUCGCUCCGGGUGGCGGCCGGCCCCGGGGAGGUGGCAGCGGGACGGGCACCGCCGCUCCCCUUGCAGAGGAGCCCGGAGGAGCCGAGCGCCUCUCCGCCGGCCCCCAGCCCCUUUUCCAGCCCCGGGGACCCCCCCUCCCGCCGCCCCUCACCUUUUCUUCUCCUUGUCAGCUGUCAUCGCGGCGGUGGCGGCCGGCUCCUGCGCCGCCUCUCGGGCCGGGGCGGGCUCAGCACCUGCCCGCGGGGCUCGGCACGGCUCAGCACGGCUCGGCUCGGAGCACCGGCUCGCCCCCGAGGCGGGCGUACAGUCUCAGGACACUGCCGAGGAUUGUACGGCCCGCCCGGGGGAUGGGGGGGGGGAGAGUGGGAGAAAGCAACGACGGCGGCGGACAGCAGCGGCCGGGUGGCGGUGUCGGGGCUGCGCGGCUCGGCGCCGCCCGCAGAAAGUUCUCACUUUAAACCUUGGGCCGCCGCCGGCCGCGGGGGCAGGGGCAGGGCCGGCCCCUCCGGCACGGCCCCGGCCCGGCACGGCUCGGCCCCGCCCGCCCAUGGGGCCGGCAAGGCGCUGCCGACGAGCCCCGGCCUCCCCGCCCCCGGCCCUGGGGUCAGCGGGACCCCCUCCGCCCCUCCCCGCCCCUCCUCCGGUCCCGGGACACCCCCUCACACACCGGCCCCGGGACCCCCCUCCCCAAAACCCUUUUACUUUCCGGCUCUUCCAGCUCGCCUUAUUUCCCUGCCCAUAA